UAUGGCGACCGGCGCACGGGUGAGUAACACGUAUCCAACCUGCCGAUGACUCGGGGAUAGCCUUCCGAAAGAAAGAUUAAUACCCGAUGGCAUAGUUCUUCCGCAUGGUAGAACUAUUAAAGAAUUUCGGUCAUCGAUGGGGAUGCGUUCCAUUAGCUUGUUGGCGGGGUAACGGCCCACCAAGGCAUCGAUGGAUAGGGGUUCUGAGAGGAAGGUCCCCCACAUUGGAACUGAGACACGGUCCAAACUCCUACGGAAGGCAGCAG
This 266-nucleotide ribosomal RNA is filed under the name uncultured bacterium. RNAcentral describes it as "partial 16S ribosomal RNA". It matches the Rfam family "Bacterial small subunit ribosomal RNA", at positions 87 to 354 of the family's 1533-position model. The record is from RNAcentral.